AUGGUGGAUCCACUCUGGAUCUGGAUUUCUCCAAAGGUUUGGCUUUUGCUGAAGAAGUUUUUUGGUCCUCUGGUCUCUCCGUUCAUCCUAUGGAGGGUUCUCAUCCUUUUACUCUGGUUGUCUCUUUUAGUACGUGCUUUUCCGGUUGAUAUUUAUUCUAUGGCUGCGGCCCUAGAGGCUGCCAUCGGGGGUUCAACAAUUGAUCUUUUUGUGAAUCUUCUCAAGGAUAAGGUCUUCUCGUUCAAGGUUUCAUGUCAGUCAGUUGGGUUUCAUAUUGUGAAUCUCAGAUCUUUGUCCUGCCCGCAGUUUAAAUGUUAG
Molecule: ribosomal RNA, 318 nt
Filed under: Triticum aestivum (bread wheat)
Lineage: Eukaryota; Viridiplantae; Streptophyta; Magnoliopsida; Poales; Poaceae
Description: partial small subunit ribosomal RNA
Source: RNAcentral